UAAGACAAUUUUGAAUUGGAGGAAAACGGUUUUCUUUCAUAUACCAUAUGGAGCAAAGGAUAAAAAUGAGUUCCAGCAGCCUAUCACGAGUGGUGAGAAUUACAGAACUCGUUGGCAGGUCUGGUUCGGAGCAAGUUGGCGGGGAUGGGGCUCCGGUUUGAAGCCCCCGAUGAUGGAGGGAAAAUUAAAAGGGGGGUAG
Non-coding RNA from Vicia faba (fava bean), 199 nucleotides. The record is from the annotation of a GenBank genome assembly. NCBI's taxonomy places the organism in Eukaryota, Viridiplantae, Streptophyta, Magnoliopsida, Fabales, Fabaceae.